This 468-nucleotide ribosomal RNA is filed under the name uncultured bacterium. RNAcentral describes it as "partial 16S ribosomal RNA". It matches the Rfam family "Bacterial small subunit ribosomal RNA", at positions 28 to 507 of the family's 1533-position model. The record is from RNAcentral.
GACGAACGCUGGCGGCGUGCUUAACACAUGCAAGUCGAACGGAAAGGCCCUGCUUUUGUGGGGUGCUCGAGUGGCGAACGGGUGAGUAACACGUGAGUAACCUGCCCUUGACUUUGGGAUAACUUCAGGAAACUGGGGCUAAUACCGGAUAGGAGCUCCUGCUGCAUGGUGGGGGUUGGAAAGUUUCGGCGGUUGGGGAUGGACUCGCGGCUUAUCAGCUUGUUGGUGGGGUAGUGGCUUACCAAGGCUUUGACGGGUAGCCGGCCUGAGAGGGUGACCGGCCACAUUGGGACUGAGAUACGGCCCAGACUCCAACGGUAGGCAGCAGUGGGGAAUAUUGCACAAUGGUCGGAAGCCUGAUGCAGCAACGCCGCGUGCGGGAUGACGGCCUUCGGGUUGUAAACCGCUUUCGCCUGUGACGAAGCGUGAGUGACGGUAAUGGGUAAAGAAGCACCGGCUAACUACGUG